CCUGCCUCUUAGAGUGUUAUAAGAAGGCCUCUAUUAGGGCUAUGUUGUGAUCCACAGAAAUUCUAGGAAAGUUCAAAGAUGGUGUCUACAUCUAAGUUUCUUGGACUUUUGCUUUUCUGGAUUUCAGCAUCCAGAGGUGACAUUGUAAUGACUCAGUCUCCAGCCACCCUGUCUGUGGCUCCAGGAGACAGUGUCAGUCUCUCCUGCAAGGCAAGCCAGAGUAUUGACAACUACCUACACUGGUAUCAGCAAAAAACACAAGGGUCUCCUAGACUUCUCAUCAAGUAUGCUUCACAGACCAUCUCUGGGAUCCCCUCCAGGUUCAGUGGCAGUGGAUCAGGGACUGAUUUCACUCUCAGAAUCAACAGUGUGGACCCAGAUGAUUUUGGAAUGUAUUACUGUCAACAAGGUAAAAGCUGGCCUCGCACAGUGAUACAGACCAUUGCAAAAACCAUGAGGAAAGUAGAAGUACGGGGUUGGGCUGCUUUAGCUGUUUCUGUUAGUUACCCAGCCUUCUUCAAAUUGUUUCACAUAUGGAGCCAGCUGUUAGGUGAGAUAAAUAUUGAAGAAAACUGGAAGUAUCCCUUACCUCUGAUUUUCUCUUCACUCUAUUUCAGCACAAGUGUACCUAGCCUACAGUUGUCCUGGUAUAAUCAGACAAUCUUCCUCUAG
Molecule: non-coding RNA, 672 nt
Organism: Grammomys surdaster
Lineage: Eukaryota; Metazoa; Chordata; Mammalia; Rodentia; Muridae
Source: the annotation of a RefSeq genome assembly